GUCUUAUUGAAUUUAAAAUAAUAAGUUUGUUCUGCCCAUUGAAUUAAAUAUUUUAAAAGGCUGCAGUAAUUUAACUGUACAAAGGUAGCAUAAUCAAUAGUUUUUUAAUUGAAAACUUGAAUGAAAGAAUUGAUAAAAUAUUAGUUGUCUCAAAUUUAAAUAAUUGAAUUUAUAUUUAAAGUUAAAAUUCUUUAAUUAAUUUAUUAGACGAUAAGACCCUAAGAAUUUUAUAAUUUAUUUAUUAUUUAUUAAAUUAGUUUAAUUUAAAAUUUAUAAUUUAAUUAUUUUAUUGGGAGGGUAAUUAAAAAUUUAAACUUUAAUUAAAUUUAAACUUUGAUAAAUGAGUUUAAUGAUUAUUAUUAUAGUUAUUAGAAUAAAUUACCUUAGGGAUAACAGCGUAAUAAUUUUGGAAAGUUCAUAUUGAUAAAAUUUUUUGCGACCUCGAUGUUGAAUUAAAAUAAAAAUUAAAUGGAGAAGUUUAAGGUUUUAGUCUGUUCGACUAUUAAAAUUUUACAU
RNAcentral lists this ribosomal RNA (516 nucleotides) under Mischocyttarus consimilis. RNAcentral describes it as "partial 16S ribosomal RNA". The record is from RNAcentral. Lineage: Eukaryota; Metazoa; Arthropoda; Insecta; Hymenoptera; Vespidae.